UCCGGCUUAACGCCGGCAGUCUCCUUAGAGUGCCACGGCUUGGCCCGGGGGCAACUAAGGACAGGGGUUGCGCUCGUUGCGGGACUUAACCCAACAUUUCACAACACGAGCCGACGACAGCCAUGCAGCACCUGUGCACGAUCUCCGAAGAGGGGCUCUCGUUUCUGAGAGCUUGCUCGUGCAUGUCAAGCCUAGGUAAGGUUCUUCGCGUUGCGUCGAAUUAAACCACAUGCUCCACCGCUUGUGCGGGCCCCCGUCAAUUCCUUUGAGUUUCAACCUUGCGGUCGUACUCCCCAGGCGGGGUACUUCCUGCGUUAGCGCCGGCACCCAGAGGGUCGAUCCCCGCCCCACACCUAGCACCCAACGUUUACGGCUAGGACUAC
This 383-nucleotide unclassified non-coding RNA is filed under the name uncultured Gemmatimonadaceae bacterium. RNAcentral describes it as "contains 16S-23S intergenic spacer region". The record is from RNAcentral. Lineage: Bacteria; Pseudomonadati; Gemmatimonadota; Gemmatimonadia; Gemmatimonadales; Gemmatimonadaceae.